GGUGAACGCUGGCGGCGUGCCUAAGACAUGCAAGUCGAGCGGGCCGCGGGGUUUUACUCCGUGGUCAGCGGCGGACGGGUGAGUAACGCGUGGGUGACCUACCCGGAAGAGGGGGACAACCCGGGGAAACUCGGGCUAAUCCCCCAUGUGGACCCGCCCCUUGGGGUGUGUCCAAAGGGCUUUGCCCGCUUCCGGAUGGGCCCGCGUCCCAUCAGCUAGUUGGUGGGGUAAUGGCCCACCAAGGCGACGACGGGUAGCCGGCCUGAGAGGGUGGCCGGCCACAGGGGCACUGAGAAACGGGCCCCACUCCUACGGGAGGCAGCAGUUAGGAAUCUUCCGCAAUGGGCGCAAGCCUGACGGAGCGACGCCGCUUGGAGGAAGAAGCCCUUCGGGGUGUAAACUCCUGAACCCGGGACGAAACCCCCGACGAGGGGACUGACGGUACCGGGGUAAUAGCGCCGGCCAACUCCGUG
This 473-nucleotide ribosomal RNA is filed under the name uncultured bacterium. Its description in RNAcentral is "partial 16S ribosomal RNA". It matches the Rfam family "Bacterial small subunit ribosomal RNA", at positions 28 to 507 of the family's 1533-position model. The record is from RNAcentral.